RNAcentral lists this ribosomal RNA (692 nucleotides) under uncultured Bacteroides sp. Its description in RNAcentral is "bacterial SSU rRNA". It matches the Rfam family "Bacterial small subunit ribosomal RNA", at positions 34 to 715 of the family's 1533-position model. Lineage: Bacteria; Pseudomonadati; Bacteroidota; Bacteroidia; Bacteroidales; Bacteroidaceae. The record is from RNAcentral.
CGCUAGCCAUAAGCGUAACACAUGCAAGUCGAGGGGCAGCAUGAAGCUUGCUUGCAAACUUUGAUGGCGACCGGCGCACGGGUGAGUAACACGUAUCCAACCUGCCGAUAACUCGGGGAUAGCCUUUCGAAAGAAAGAUUAAUACCCGAUGGCAUGGGAAGACCGCAUGGUUUUUCCACUAAAGAAUUUCGGUUAUCGAUGGGGAUGCGUUCCAUUAGAUAGUAGGCGGGGUAACGGCCCACCUAGUCAACGAUGGUUAGGGGUUCUGAGAGGAAGGUCCCCCACAUUGGAACUGAGACACGGUCCAAACUCCUACGGGAGGCAGCAGUGAGGAAUAUUGGUCAAUGGACGAGAGUCUGAACCAGCCAAGUAGCGUGAAGGAUGACUGCCCUAUGGGUUGUAAACUUCUUUUAUACGGGAAUAAAGUGUUCCACGUGUGGAAUUUUGUAUGUAUCGUAUGAAUAAGGAUCGGCUAACUCCGUGCCAGCAGCCGCGGUAAUACGGAGGAUCCGAGCGUUAUCCGGAUUUAUUGGGUUUAAAGGGAGCGUAGGUGGAAGAUUAAGUCAGCCUGUGAAAGUUUGCGGCUCAACCGUAAAAUUGCAGUUGAUACUGGUUUUCUUGAGUGCAGUAGAGGUGGGCGGAAUUCGUGGUGUAGCGGUGAAAUGCUUAGAUAUCACGAAGAACUCCGAUUG